AUAAUGCAGUCGAGCGGACAGAUGGGAGCUUGCUCCCUGAUGUUAGCGGCGGACGGGUGAGUAACACGUGGGUAACCUGCCUGUAAGACUGGGAUAACUCCGGGAAACCGGGGCUAAUACCGGAUGCUUGAUUGAACCGCAUGGUUCAAUUAUAAAAGGUGGCUUCUACUUCCCCUUUCCGAAGGACCCCCCGCCCCUUUACUUAUUUGGGAAGGAACCGCUCCCCCAGGGCACCAAGCCUAACCCAACUGGAAAGGUGAUCCGCCCCCCUGGGACUGAAAACCCGGCCCAAAUCCUAACGGAAGGCACCAUAAGGAAUCCUCCCCCAUGGAACAAAGUCCGAACGAACCACCCCCCCUGGAUGAAGGAAGGUUUCCGAACCUAAAACUCCGGUGGUAAGGAAAAACCAAUACCGGUCCAAUUAGGGGGGACCCUGGCCGGACCUUACCCAAAAGCCACGGGCAACUACCUGCCAACCACCGGCGUAAUUCGUAGGUGGCAAGCCUUGGUCCGAAUUUUUGGCCGUAAGGCGGCGCCGGGCGGUUCCUUAGUCUGAGGGAAGCCCCCGCUCAACGGGGAGGG
This 582-nucleotide ribosomal RNA is filed under the name Bacillus sp. 139. Its description in RNAcentral is "partial 16S ribosomal RNA". It matches the Rfam family "Bacterial small subunit ribosomal RNA", at positions 51 to 621 of the family's 1533-position model. Lineage: Bacteria; Bacillati; Bacillota; Bacilli; Caryophanales; Bacillaceae. The record is from RNAcentral.